Phyllostomus discolor (pale spear-nosed bat) is the source of this 102-nucleotide long non-coding RNA. RefSeq lists it as uncharacterized. NCBI's taxonomy places the organism in Eukaryota, Metazoa, Chordata, Mammalia, Chiroptera, Phyllostomidae. The transcript has 3 exons. The record is from RefSeq and is a predicted model, not a curated record.
GUGCUCUGCCUGGGCCAGACCAUUCACACACAGGAGGGGGUCCUGCCCAAACCCUCCAUCAGGGCCAAGCUGGGUCCUGUGAUCCACUGGGAACAGCCUGUG